UCCUACGGGAGGCAGCAGUGGGGAAUCUUAGACAAUGGGGGCAACCCUGAUCUAGCCAUGCCGCGUGAGUGAUGAAGGCCUUAGGGUCGUAAAGCUCUUUCGCCUGUGAUGAUAAUGACAGUAGCAGGUAAAGAAACCCCGGCUAACUCCGUGCCAGCAGCCGCGGUAAUACGGAGGGGGUUAGCGUUGUUCGGAAUUACUGGGCGUAAAGCGCGCGUAGGCGGAUUAGAAAGUUGGGGGUGAAAUCCCGGGGCUCAACCUCGGAACUGCCUCCAAAACUGCUAGUCUAGAGUUCGAGAGAGGUGAGUGGAAUUCCGAGUGUAGAGGUGAAAUUCGUAGAUAUUCGGAGGAACACCAGUGGCGAAGGCGGCUCACUGGCUCGAUACUGACGCUGAGGUGCGAAAGUGUGGGGAGCAAACAGGAUUAGAUACCCUGGUAGUCCACACCGUAAACGAUGAAUGCCAGUCGUCGGGUAGUAUACUAUUCGGUGACACACCUAACGGAUUAAGCAUUCCGCCUGGGGAGUACGGUCGCAAGAUUAAAACUCA
This 548-nucleotide ribosomal RNA is filed under the name uncultured bacterium. RNAcentral's name for it is "bacterial SSU rRNA". It matches the Rfam family "Bacterial small subunit ribosomal RNA", at positions 337 to 903 of the family's 1533-position model. The record is from RNAcentral.